Molecule: ribosomal RNA, 453 nt
Filed under: uncultured organism
Description: partial 16S ribosomal RNA
Rfam family: Bacterial small subunit ribosomal RNA
Source: RNAcentral
GUACACUCCUGCGGGAGGCAGCAGUGGGGAAUAUUGGACAAUGGGCGCAAGCCUGAUCCAGCCAUGCCGCGUGAGUGAUGAAGGCCCUAGGGUUGUAAAGCUCUUUCACCGGUGAAGAUAAUGACGGUAACCGGAGAAGAAGCCCCGGCUAACUUCGUGCCAGCAGCCGCGGUAAUACGAAGGGGGCUAGCGUUGUUCGGAUUUGCUGGGCGUAAAGCGCACGUAGGCGGACUAUUAAGUCAGGGGUGAAAUCCCGGGGCUCAACCCCGGAACUGCCUUUGAUACUGGUAGUCUUGAGUUCGAGAGAGGUGAGUGGAAUUCCGAGUGUAGAGGUGAAAUUCGUAGAUAUUCGGAGGAACACCAGUGGCGAAGGCGGCUCACUGGCUCGAUACUGACGCUGAGGUGCGAAAGCGUGGGGAGCAAACAGGAUUAGAAACCCCAGUAGUCCCAUGA